ACGCUCGACACCUACGGGGGGCAGCAGUGGGGAAUAUUGCACAAUGGGGGAAACCCUGAUGCAGCGACGCCGCGUGGGUGAAGAAGUAAUUCGUUAUGUAAAGCUCUAUCAGCAGGGAAGAAAGUGACGGUACCUGAGUAAGAAGCCCCGGCUAACUACGUGCCAGCAGCCGCGGUAAUCUGAGCGGGCUGGCAAGGC
RNAcentral lists this ribosomal RNA (198 nucleotides) under uncultured bacterium. RNAcentral's name for it is "partial 16S ribosomal RNA". It matches the Rfam family "Bacterial small subunit ribosomal RNA", at positions 328 to 539 of the family's 1533-position model. The record is from RNAcentral.